GUACACGCUGUGACUAGCAUAUCAAUAAGCGGAGGAAAAGAAACUAACAAGGAUUCCCCUAGUAACGGCGAGUGAAGCGGGAAGAGCUCAAAUUUGAAAUCUUAAAGGGUUUCCCUUUACGAAUUGUAGUUUAAAGAAGUGUUUUCUGUUGAGGUUUUGGUAAAAGUUCUUUGGAAUAGGACAUCAUAGAGGGUGAGAAUCCCGUAUUUGACCUUUACUUUCAACUUUGUGAUACACUUUCAAAGAGUCGGAUUGUUUGGGAAUGCAGUCCAAAAUGGGUGGUAAAUUUCAUCUAAAGCUAAAUAUUAGCGAGAGACCGAUAGCGAACAAGUACCGUGAGGGAAAGAUGAAAAGAACUUUGAAAAGAGAGUUAAACAGUACGUGAAAUUGUCAAAAGGGAAGCGUUUGACACCAGUGUUGUUUUUCUGAAAAUCAAUUAAAGAACUGUUUAUGCUAAGCUGUUUAGACUUUAUCAGCUAACUGUUUAGUUUUGAGCUUUUCUUUAAUGCACUUUUCAGUUAACAAGUCAACAUCAAUUUCUUUUGCUGUAAAAAAGCUUGAGGAAGGUGGCUUGAGAUUCGUCUUAAGUGUUUAUAGCCUCUUGCCUAUGCAGUCGGAGAGAUUGAGGUCUGCAGCGUAGAUCCUUCGGGGCUAAAUGCAUUUGUGCUAAGUUAUAGCAUUUCAUAGACAACUUGUUGACUAUGAUUUGUCUUGUAGCUUACUCGCUUAUGUUAUUUUACCUACGCUUAGGAUGUUGACGCGCGUGUGUGCGUG
This 774-nucleotide ribosomal RNA is filed under the name uncultured Neocallimastigales. RNAcentral's name for it is "partial large subunit ribosomal RNA". It matches the Rfam family "Eukaryotic large subunit ribosomal RNA", at positions 22 to 639 of the family's 3401-position model. The record is from RNAcentral. Lineage: Eukaryota; Fungi; Neocallimastigomycota; Neocallimastigomycetes; Neocallimastigales.